GACGUCAAGUCAGCAUGCCCCUUACGCUCUGGGCGACACACGUACUACAAUGGUCGGGACAGAGGGCAGCUAACCUGCGAAGGCAAGCUAAUCCCAGAAACUCGGCCUCAGUUCAGAUCGCAGGCUGCAACUCGCCUGCGUGAAGGAGGAAUCGCUAGUAAUCGCCGGUCAGAAUACGGCGGUGAAUCCGUUCCCGGGCCUUGUACACACCGCCCGUCACACCAUGGAAGCUGGCCACGCCCGAAGUCGUUACCCUAACCUUUAGGGGAGGGGGACGCCGAAGGCAGGGUUGGUGACUG
This 299-nucleotide ribosomal RNA is filed under the name uncultured bacterium. Its description in RNAcentral is "partial 16S ribosomal RNA". It matches the Rfam family "Bacterial small subunit ribosomal RNA", at positions 1181 to 1477 of the family's 1533-position model. The record is from RNAcentral.